GUAGGUGGCAAGCGUUGUCCGGAAUUAUUGGGCGUAAAGCGCGCGCAGGUGGUUCUUUAUGUCUGAUGUGAAACGCCCCCGGCUCAACCGGGGAGGGUCAUUGGAAACUGGGGAACUUGAGUGCAGGAGAGGAAAGUGGAAUUCCACGUGUAGCGGUGAAAUGCGUAGAUAUGUGGAGGAACACCAGUGGCGAAGGCGACUUUCUGGCCUGUAACUGACACUGAGGCGCGAAAGCGUGGGGAGCAAACAGGGAUUAGAUACCCUGGUAGUCCACGCCGUAAACGAUGAGUGCUAAGUGUUGGGGGGGUUUCCCGCCCCUCAGUGCUGCAGCUAACGCAUUAAGCACUCCGCCUGGGGAUACGGUCGCAAGACUG
This 374-nucleotide ribosomal RNA is filed under the name uncultured organism. RNAcentral's name for it is "partial 16S ribosomal RNA". It matches the Rfam family "Bacterial small subunit ribosomal RNA", at positions 527 to 896 of the family's 1533-position model. The record is from RNAcentral.